GCGGCGUGAAGGCCGAGUCCGCACAGGCCCGACAGGGGCCGCAGCGGAGCCGGGGACCCAAGUUCCAGGGGUGAAUCGGCGCGUCCCGAGCGCGCCGUAGGGCUCUUCCAUGCCCGAAUCCGUCAGCUAACCCGGUAGGCGUCAUGGGAGACAAGGA
Molecule: small RNA, 157 nt
Filed under: Actinomadura sp.
Lineage: Bacteria; Bacillati; Actinomycetota; Actinomycetes; Streptosporangiales; Thermomonosporaceae
Description: c-di-AMP sequence
Rfam family: c-di-AMP riboswitch aptamer (ydaO/yuaA leader)
About the family: This family represents a conserved RNA structure found upstream of the ydaO and yuaA genes in Bacillus subtilis and related genes in other bacteria. The ydaO/yuaA element is thought to act as a genetic "off" switch for the ydaO and yuaA genes in its native state.
Source: RNAcentral